Molecule: long non-coding RNA, 549 nt
Filed under: Pan troglodytes (chimpanzee)
Lineage: Eukaryota; Metazoa; Chordata; Mammalia; Primates; Hominidae
Description: lincRNA
Source: RNAcentral
GGCUGCUGGCCCUCUUGGCCGCCGUCGCUACGCACCGAGUUCGUGUUUAAGGAGAAACUAACGAUGAAAACGGACUCGUUGACGGAGGAAAAGUUGGAAUGCAGCCUCUGGUGCUGUUUGAGCGAUCCCUCUCCCCGGGGCCUGGCCGCGCGCUGCUGUGUUCUGGAAGGGCUCAUUGUACAGUCAAGGUGGAGACUAGCCCUUCUUGCAACUUCCGCGUGCAGUCCUCCUCAAUGCUGCCAGAACAGCAGCUACAACUCUAUGAUUGAAGGCAUCGCCCUCCUGGUUCUCCAUAUUGUUUGCCAUCUUGGACAGAUAAAUUAGAUGAGCUCUUUUUUCAACACUCAGAGAAUGUUUUGAAUUCACAUUUCUGCCAUCUUACUCACCUAUUCGAAUCAGUUCCCUCCCCCUCCCUUGUAUCAAAUAUUGUCUCUGAUAAUAAUACAUUGAGUUAUUUGUAGUUCCUGAAGAAUUUCAUGUUCUUAUAACAUUAAAUUUUUUCCCACACUAUUUGUUGUAACUAGUUUACCUAUUUCUGCCUAAAUAAAA